This 258-nucleotide ribosomal RNA is filed under the name uncultured bacterium. Its description in RNAcentral is "partial 16S ribosomal RNA". It matches the Rfam family "Bacterial small subunit ribosomal RNA", at positions 524 to 777 of the family's 1533-position model. The record is from RNAcentral.
GACAGAGGUCCCGAGCGUUUAGGCGGAAUUACUGGGCGUAAAGGGCUCGUAGGCGGCCAACUAAGUCAGACGUGAAAUCCCCUCGGCUUAACCGGGGGAACUGCGUCUGAUACUGGAUGGCUUGAAUCCGGGAGAGGGAUGCGGAAUUCCAGGUGUAGCGGUGAAAUGCGUAGAUAUCUGGAGGAACACCGGUGGCGAAGGCGGCAUCCUGGACCGGCAUUGACGCUGAGGAGCGAAAGCCAGGGGGAGCAAAGCGGG